GAUGAACGCUAGCUACAGGCUUAACACAUGCAAGUCGAGGGGAAACGAUAUUGGAAGCUUGCUUCCGAUAGGCGUCGACCGGCGCACGGGUGAGUAACGCGUAUCCAACCUGCCCAUCACUUGGGGAUAACCUUGCGAAAGUAAGACUAAUACCCAAUGACGUCUCUAGAAGACAUCUGAAGGAGAUUAAAGAUUUAUCGGUGAUGGAUGGGGAUGCGUCUGAUUAGCUUGUUGGCGGGGUAACGGCCCACCAAGGCGACGAUCAGUAGGGGUUCUGAGAGGAAGGUCCCCCCACAUUGGAACUGAGACACGGUCCAAACUCCUACGGGAGGCAGCAGUGAGGAAUAUUGGUCAAUGGGCGAGAGCCUGAACCAGCCAAGUAGCGUGCAGGAUGACGGCCCUAUGGGUUGUAAACUGCUUUUAUAAGGGAAUAAAGUGGGAGUCGUGACUCUUUUUGCAUGUACCUUAUGAAUAAGGACCGGCUAAUUCCGUGCCAGCAG
This 500-nucleotide ribosomal RNA is filed under the name uncultured bacterium. RNAcentral describes it as "bacterial SSU rRNA". It matches the Rfam family "Bacterial small subunit ribosomal RNA", at positions 28 to 514 of the family's 1533-position model. The record is from RNAcentral.